UACGGGGGGGGCAAGCGUUGUUCGGAAUUACUGGGCGUAAAGGGCUUGUAGGUGGCCAACUAAGUCAGACGUGAAAUCCCUCGGCUUAACCGGGGAACUGCGUCUGAUACUGGAUGGCUGGAGUGUGGGAGAGGGAUGCGGAAUUCCAGGUGUAGCGGUGAAAUGCGUAGAUAUCUGGAGGAACACCGGUGGCGAAGGCGGCAUCCUGGACCGGCAUUGACGCUGAGGCGCGAAAGCCAGGGGAGCAAACGGG
RNAcentral lists this ribosomal RNA (253 nucleotides) under uncultured bacterium. Its description in RNAcentral is "partial 16S ribosomal RNA". It matches the Rfam family "Bacterial small subunit ribosomal RNA", at positions 524 to 776 of the family's 1533-position model. The record is from RNAcentral.